UGGGGAAUUUUGGACAAUGGGGGAAACCCUGAUCCAGCCAUCCCGCGUGUGCGAUGAAGGCCUUCGGCUUGUAAAGCACUUUUGGCAGGAAAGAAACGUCAUGGGUUAAUACCCCGUGAAACUGACGGUACCUGCAGAAUAAGCACCGGCUAACUACGUGCCAGCAGCCGCGGUAAUACGUAGGGUGCAAGCGUUAAUCGGAAUUACUGGGCGUAAAGCGUGCGCAGGCGGUUCGGAAAGAAAGAUGUGAAAUCCCAGAGCUCAACUUUGGAACUGCAUUUUUAACUACCGGGCUAGAGUGUGUCAGAGGGAGGUGGAAUUCCGCGUGUAGCAGUGAAAUGCGUAGAUAUGCGGAGGAACACCGAUGGCGAAGGCAGCCUCCUGGGAUAACACUGACGCUCAUGCACGAAAGCGUGGGGAGCAAACAGG
RNAcentral lists this ribosomal RNA (429 nucleotides) under Acidobacteriota bacterium. Its description in RNAcentral is "Acidobacteria bacterium partial 16S ribosomal RNA". It matches the Rfam family "Bacterial small subunit ribosomal RNA", at positions 355 to 776 of the family's 1533-position model. Lineage: Bacteria; Pseudomonadati; Acidobacteriota. The record is from RNAcentral.